AGUGGUAUUGCUGGGUCAUAUAGUAAUUCCAUUCUUAGUUUUUUGAGGAACCUUCAUACUGAUUUCCAUAGCGGUUGUACUAUUUAAAAUUCUACCAAUGAU
Molecule: microRNA precursor, 102 nt
Filed under: Marmota monax (woodchuck)
Lineage: Eukaryota; Metazoa; Chordata; Mammalia; Rodentia; Sciuridae
Source: RNAcentral